GGAGGGAGCGUGCGGGCGAGCCGGGCCGCGGAGCUGGUCGCGGGUGCGGGAGGACCCGGGCCGGGGUCUCUGCGGGGAGCGGGAGCGGGAGCGCCCUCGACCCGCCCCUGUGCAGCGCGGCGGGGGGACCCGGGGAGAGUGCGGGGACGGUCCGCCGGGGCGCGGGGGUGAGGCCGCGGCGGUGGGACCGGCUGCCCGGUUGCUCCUCCCGAGACGGCGGGCUGGGGGCGGCUGGGACGGCCCCGCGGUCCUGCGUCCCUGGGGAAGCGGGGCACUGAGUGGCUCGGCUCUUGUACGGGUGCGGGUCUGCGCUGUGUCGUUUGGAUUCGGUUGACUCUGGCAGGUGCAUUUCUUUUGAUAUGGACGGACGGACGGACGGACGGAGGGAACAUCUCCCAGGCUGAGAUCCCGACCUGACCUCACGUCCAGAGUUGGACGCUUCACCGCGUGAGCCACCAGGUGCCCCUUUAGCGUAUGAAUUUGUAAAAAUCAGCCCCAUUGGAAAAAGUGAGGAUAAAAGAGGCCAAAAACUCAUCGUGGAAUCAAAAGAUCCGAGAAUCAGAGGUUCAUCUUGGGUCGGAAGAAGAGCAAGAGGAGGGUGGGGAGUGCGGGGGCCGAGGGGACGGACGAGCAGGACUGAUGCAGAAGGUCAGACCAGAUGACCUCCCCCGAGGACGGAGACGCACCACGGACGGUGGAAGCAGCAUCCUGUCUUGUUCCCAUCUCAGAGCGACGGUGUUCGCUCCGUCGAGUGGGGUUUACCUCUGCUGUUCGUCGGCGGCCUUUACCCUGGGUGGACGGCGGUGCCUGCUCUCCUCAGUGGACAGGCUCUUCUGUUACUCAGGAAAGGGAAGGACAGUUUUUAAAACACAACUGUUUAUUGUAAAAUACAGUGACAUAAAAUUAACAAGAAUGAAUUUGGACCCUUAACACUAUAUACAAAAAUUAACUCAAACUGGAUUUAACACCUAAAUGUGAGAUACAAAAUUUAGAAAACACAGCUGAAAAGCCUCAUGACAUUGUAUUUGACAGUAGUAUCUUCGGCAACACCAAAAGCAUAGGUAAUAAAAGGAAAAAACAAAAACUAGACUUAACAAAAUUUGAAAAUUUUGUGCACCAAAGGGCACAGUCAACGGAAUACAAAGGUAACUCACAGAAGAAAAUAUUUGCAAAUGACUUACCUGAUAAGGGACUGUUACCCUUAAAACUCAACAACAAACAACCCAAUUUACAUGAGAUUUCUUUCCAUUUCCUUGUCUUCUGUUUUCUGCAAGGUUUUAGAGUUUUCAUUGUACAAAUCUUUUACCUCGAUUAAAUUAAUUCUUAAGUAUUUUAUAACUUUUGAGGCUAUUAUAAGUGGAAUUGUUUUCUUAAUUUCUUUUAGGUUGCUCAUUGUUAGUAUGUAGAGGGGUGGCUGAUUUCUGUGUCUUGAUUUUGUAUUACUACAUUGCUCUAUUCUAACAGUUUUUUUUCUGUAGAAUCGUAGGAUUUUUUACAUACAAAAUCAUUUCUUUGAGCAGAAAUAACUUUACUUUUUCCUUUCUAACGUGGAUGCUUUUUACUUCUUUUUCUUGACUAGUUGCUCUGGCUAGAACCUCCAACACAAUGCUGAAUAGAAUUGUGGGAGGGGGACGAGCAUGUUUGUCUUAUUCUUGAUCUCAGUGGCAGCACUUCUUACACCGUUGAGUAGAAUGCUAGCCGUGGGUUUUUCAUAUGUGACUUUCUUAUAUUAAGUCAGUUUCGCUCCAUUCCUAGUCUGUUGAGUGUUUUAUCAUGAAUUGUGUCACGAGAUUUUUCUCUGUCAGUUGAGAAGAUAAGGUAAUUUUUUCACCCUUAAUUCUCUUUAGACCAUCUUUGUAUUCUAGGACUAUAUUUCAUUUGGCCACAAUAUAUAAUCCUUUUGAUAGGCUGUGGAAUUCAGUUCAUGUUUCGUUGAGAAUUUUUGUGUCAAUAUUCAUAGGGGAUGUUGAUCUGUAGCUUUUGUUUUUGUUUUUUCCUCUUGUGUCUUUAUCUGGCUCAGUAUUGGGGCAACAAAUGAGUUAGUGAGUUAGAAAGCGUUCUCUACACUUUGUUUUUUGGGAAAGUUUGAGAAGGAUUGGUAUUAGUUCUUUAAAUGUUUUGUAGACUUCUCCAGCAAAACCAUCCAGUCCAAGGCUUUUCUUCAUUGGAGGGUUUUUGAUUACUGGUUCAACCUUGUCACUAGUUACAGAUCUAUCUGGAUUCUCCAUUUCUUGGUGAUUCAGACUUGGUAGGUUUUCUAUUUAUGUAAAGUUAGUAAUGUCCCCUCUUUAAUUUCUGAUUUUAGCAAUUUGAGUCUUCUCUUUUUUCUCUGACAUUCUAGCUAAAUAUUUGUCAAUCUUGCUGAUUGUUGUUGUUGCUGCUGUUUUUUAAGAUUUUAUUUGUUUAUUUCAGAGAGAGAGAGAGAAAGCCCGAGCAGGAAUCAAGGGCAGAGGGAGAUGGAGAUGCACACUCCCUGCUGAGCAGGGAGCCUGUCAUGGAGCAGGCUCUGUCAUGAGCCAAAGCGAGACGUGUAACCAACCGAGCCAUCAAGGAGCCCCAGUUUUGCAGAUUUAAAAAAAAAUUUUUGGUUUUGUUUCCUAUAUUCUUUUUAUCCUAUUCAUUAUUUCACUUUUCUCCACUCUAAUGUUUAUUUCCUACUCUUUGCUAACUUUGGCUCAAUUUGUGCUGCUCUUUUUUAGUUCCUUUAAGGUGUAUGGGGGCACCUGGCUGGCUCAGUAGGUGAAGCAUAAGACUCUUGAUAUCAGGGUCAUGAGUUCUAUCCCCACAUUGGGUGCGGAGCCUACUUUAAAAAAAUUUUAAGGUGUUUAGUUCGGUUACUGAUUUGAGAUUUCUUAACUAUAGAUAUUUGCAGGUAGAAAUUUCACUUAAGCACUGCUUUCAGUACAUUCACUAUGUUUUGUAUGUUGUGCUUUUAUUUUCAUUUGUCUCAAAAUAUUUUCUAAUUUCCUUUAUGAUUUCUUCUUUGACUUCUGGUUAUUUAAGAGCAUUUUAAAAAAUUUUUCAAUUAUUGUGAGUUUUUCUUCUGUUACUGAUUUCUAGUUUUGUUCCACUAUAAUUAGAAAAGACAUUUUUAUGAUUUUUCAGAAUUUAUUAAAAUUCAUUUUCUGUGGUGAUUAUGUGAUGCGAUACAGGUUGGCUAAUGCUACAGAUGGAAACACUGGCAGUAUAGAAGCAUAUCGAAUCAACACAUUGUAUACCUUAAACUUACAUGAUGUUAUAUGUCAAUUAUAUCUCAAUAAAGCCGAAAAUUUUUAAUUUAAAAAAACGUGUUUUCUGGCCUAAAAUAUGUUUUACUCUGGACAGUGUUCUGUGUGCAUUUGAGAAGAAUGUGUGUUUCAUUAUUGUUAGGUGAAGAGUUCUGGAUGUAUGUCUGCUAGGUGUACUUGGAUUAUACCAUCAUUCAAGUACUCUUUCCUUCUUGAUCUUUUCUCUGGUCGUUCUAUCCAUUAUUAAAAGUGGGAUAAUGAAGUCUCCGACUAUUAUUGUAGAAUUGUCAAUUUCUCCCUCAUUUCUCCUUGUUUCAUAUGUAUUUGGUGCUCUGAUUCAGAUGCUAUAUGCUUACAAUUGUUGGAUCAUCUUGUUGGAUUAAAUUUUUUUUCUGUAUAUAAUGUCCUUCUUGUUUCUUAUAACCCUUUUUCUAAUGUAAAAUUUAUAGCCACCCCACACGCUCCUUGGUUUACUGUUUGCAUGGAAUGCGUUUUUCCAUCCUUUUACUUUUGACCUCUUUGUGUCUUUGAAUCUAAAGUGAAACUCUUUUGGACAGCAUAUAGAUGGAGCUUUUAAGAGAACAUACUCCACAAGUCUCUGACUUUUAAUUGGAGAGUUUCAUCCAUUUACGGUUAAAGUAAUGACUAAUAAGGAAUGACUUCUGCCAUUUUAAUAGUUCUCUAUAUGGCAUAUUUUUUUUUUAUUCCUCAAUUCUUUCAUUACUGCAUUUUUAAAAAAAUUUUAUUAUUUGACAGACAGAGAUCACAAGCAGGCAGAGAGGCAGGCAGAGAGAGGGGGAAGCAGGCUCCCCGCUGAGCAGAGAGCCCGAUGUGGGGCUCAAUCCCAGGACCCCGAGAUCAUGACCUGAGCCGAAGGCAGAGGCUUUAACCCACUGAGCCACCCAGGCGCCCCUCAUUACUGCAUUUUUGAUAUGCACUUGUUUUUCUGUAGCCUACCAUUUUGAUUCUCUUUUCUGUAUAUUUUAAAAUUUAUUUUCUUAGUGGUUAGCUUUGUGACUGUAAUUUGCAUCUUAAACUUAUAACGACAUAGUUUGAAUACCAAUUUAUUUAAAAUUGCUUAUAAUCUGUACAUACACCUCUCUGUCCCCUUAUCUGGUUACUGUCACAGAUUUCAGCUUUAAAAAUUAUAUGCCUGUUAACACAGGUUUACAAUUAAUGAUUUAUGUUUGUGCCUUUUAAAUCAUAUAGGAAAAGUCUUUUAAAAAAGAUUUUAUUUAGGGACACCCGGGUGGCUCAGCUGGUUAACCAGCUGCCCUCAGCUCACGUCAUGAUCCUAAUGUCCUGGGAUUGAGUUCCACAUUGGGCUCCUUGCUCAGUGGGGAGCCUGCUUCUCCCUCUGCUUGUGCUUGUUCUCUCUCUUGGAUUAAAAAAUAAAAUAGGGGCGCCUGGGUGGCUCAGUGGGUUAAGCUGCUGCCUUCGGCUCAGGUCAUGAUCUCAGGGUCCUGGGAUCGAGCCCCACAUCGGGCUCUGCUCAGCGGGGAGGAGCCUGCUUCCCUCUCUCUCUCUCUGCCUGCCUCUCUGUCUACUGUGAUUUCUCUCUCUGUCAAAUAAAUAAAUAAAUAAAAUCUUUAAAAUAAAUAAAAUAAAUUAUUUUAUUUAUUUUAAAGAUUUUAGGAUGAGCAGAGGAAAGGGCAGAGGAGCCUGCUGAGCAGGGAGCCUGAUGCAGAGCUGGACCCUAGGAGCUUGAGAUUGUGAUCUGAGCUGAAGUCAGAUGCUCAACUGACUGACUGAGCUACCCAAGCACCCCAACACUGGCUUUUACAUUUACCUAGGUAUUUACCUUUCCCAGUGUUAUUUCUUCAUGUAGCUUCAAUUUACUGUCUAGUGUCAUUUGCUUUUCAAUCUGAAGGAUUCCUUUGGGCAUUUCUUACAGUGCAGAUCCACCAGUAACAAAUUCCCUUAGCUUUUGUUUAUCUGGGGAUGUCUUAUUUCUCCUUCAUUCUUGAAGAGGAGUUUUGCCAGAUGUAAUCUUUUUUUUUUAAUUAAUUAUUUUUAAAAAUAAUUUAUUUUAGAGAGAGAAGAAGGGGCGGAUGGAGAGGGAGUGAGAAUCUCAAGCAGACUCCAUGCUGAGGACGGAGCCCAGUGAGGAGCUCAGUCUCAUGAUCCUGAGAUCACGACCUGAGUCAAAACCAAGACUGGAUGCUUAACUGACUGUACCACCCAGGCACCCCCAGAUACAGAAUUCUUGGUUGACAGGUUUUUCUUUCAACUCUUCAAAUAUGUCAACGCACUGCUUUCUACAACUCUUCAAAUAUGUCAACACACUGCUUUCUACCCUCCACAGUUCCUGGAAGUCUGACAACAUGGUCACACACCAUGUCCCUCCCUAAUGGCGAUGUGGAGCCCCAGAAUCCGAAUCUGAGGAUUUCCCGCAAGAAGCUGUGUUGGAACUCCCCCGCCUCCAGGUGGGAUCACAUCUAUUCCACACAGAUGACAACUUUCUGGUCUUCAGUUCCACAGGACAGAAGCUGUUCCACCACACGCAGCCACUGGGUGUCACCUGGGAUUUCUCGGGCUGUCCUCAUCUCCUCUGGGAAACUAACUGCCUUUUUAUAUCAUUCAAUAAACACAUUUAUUACAUUCCA
This is a long non-coding RNA of Mustela lutreola (European mink), 5833 nucleotides long. RefSeq lists it as uncharacterized. The record is from RefSeq and is a predicted model, not a curated record. NCBI's taxonomy places the organism in Eukaryota, Metazoa, Chordata, Mammalia, Carnivora, Mustelidae. The transcript has 2 exons.